RNAcentral lists this ribosomal RNA (253 nucleotides) under uncultured bacterium. Its description in RNAcentral is "partial 16S ribosomal RNA". It matches the Rfam family "Bacterial small subunit ribosomal RNA", at positions 524 to 776 of the family's 1533-position model. The record is from RNAcentral.
UACGGAGGGGGCUAGCGUUGUUCGGAAUUACUGGGCGUAAAGCGCACGUAGGCGGAUCAGCAAGUCAGGGGUGAAAUCCCGGGGCUCAACCCCGGAACUGCCUUUGAUACUGUUGGUCUGGAGGUCGAGAGAGGCGAGUGGAAUUCCGAGUGUAGAGGUGAAAUUCGUAGAUAUUCGGAGGAACACCAGUGGCGAAGGCGGCCCACUGGAUCGGUACUGACGCUGAGGUGCGAAAGCGUGGGGAGCAAACAGG